UGAGGAAUAUUGGUCAAUGGGGGCAACCCUGAACCAGCCAAGUCGCGUGAAGGAUGAAGGUCUUAUGGAUUGUAAACUUCUUUUACACGGGAAUAAAGUGGGGGACGUGUCCCCCUUUGCAUGUACCGUGUGAAUAAGGAUCGGCUAACUCCGUGCCAGCAGCCGCGGUAAUACGGAGGAUCCGAGCGUUAUCCGGAUUUAUUGGGUUUAAAGGGUGCGCAGGCGGGAUGUUAAGUCGGCGGUGAAAUUUUGCAGCUCAACUGUAAAAGUGCCUUCGAUACUGGCCUCCUUGAGUGUGGAUGAAGUAGGCGGAAUUCGUGGUGUAGUGGUGAAAUGCUUAGAUAUCACGAGGAACUCCGAUUGCGCAGGCAGCUUACUAAGCCACAACUGACGCUCAUGCACGAAGGCGUGGGGAUCAAACA
RNAcentral lists this ribosomal RNA (422 nucleotides) under uncultured bacterium. RNAcentral describes it as "bacterial SSU rRNA". It matches the Rfam family "Bacterial small subunit ribosomal RNA", at positions 355 to 774 of the family's 1533-position model. The record is from RNAcentral.